Long non-coding RNA from Ailuropoda melanoleuca (giant panda), 1695 nucleotides. RefSeq lists it as uncharacterized. The record is from RefSeq and is a predicted model, not a curated record. Lineage: Eukaryota; Metazoa; Chordata; Mammalia; Carnivora; Ursidae. The transcript is spliced from 4 exons.
AAGCGGAAGCCGGCCCCCGCCGCCCGCCAUCUUGGGGAGGUCGGCGCUGGAGGAGGUGGAGCCCGGGGUGCACUGCCGGCUGACGAGCGGCUUUCUCAGCCUCCGUUUGGGCGGUCGGGACAAUCGGGUUUGGCUUCAGGAGGAUUAUAUAUCUGCCUGGCAUCCCUUUUUGGUCCUGCUGGAGAUUUCUUGGGUGGUGAACCAGAAGUUGUAUCUUCAUUGGCUCUCUUUUGCCUAUAAUGGUUUCCAGGAUAAUGUUACUGUGCUUUUAUAAGAAGGAGGAAUGUGGAAGAGAUCCUGGAAAGACAAAAUGAGACAAGAUUUCUAAUAUAUCUGGUGCUAUGGAGAGUGGUGGUGAGGGUAAGAAACAUGGAGACAUCUUAAAGUUUAGGAGAGAGCCUCGCCUGUUUUACCCUGCAGAGCCAAGCGAAGUUGUCGGAUAUAAACCUGCAGACCCCGUGCAAAGUACUGCAGCCUAAAUAAAGAAGUAUUGGUUAAUUAGCAAAUCACCACUUCAACUUUGUUUUUAAACUCAAAGAAUCUUCCACUAUAGCUAAAUGUUCUUAACUAAUAAAGAUAAUUUUUUUGAGGAACUUUUAAAAAUUAUCAAUAUAUGAUCCCAAGAGAUACAUAAAUAAGCAAAAUAAACACAGUUUUCCCUUACCAAAAAUGUGAGGAAAUCCAUACUCAACCUGGCAAGGGAAAGAUUUAUAACACUGUGCUUAUUAUGUUAUUCUGUAAGGCGUGGUCAGAGCGAACCAUGCAGGAUCCAUGGAUUAGACUCAGAUGGCCUGGGUUCUACUCUUUCACUGGCCAAUUGCAGGUCAAGUGACCUUAGACAAGUCACUUAACCUCUAUGUAUUUAUCUGCUAACAAGAGACAGUGUUUGAUCCUCAAGGUCUAGUUGAAAAUAAAACAAAACUGAUAUGAGAAUUUAUUAUAAACUCAUCUAAAUCUCAAAGAGUUCGAAGAAAUACCCUUUUCAAGUUUGUUCCUGGAGUAUGUGAAGAAAAGCAGUAUAUAGCUCCACCCUGCUGACUUCUAGAACUCUGAUUAAUAACCUGGCAUCAUUUUUUAAUCUUUGCAGGAAUUUCUUAACUUGCUGCUUCUGAUCAAAUGUUUCACCAAGUACUAAACCACUGCCUUACCAAAGAGGACAGUAACAGAUAAUACAGUGGCCAGUCAUUUCAAAAUUUAAGAUGUGAAUUUGUUAAUAAAAAGAUUCAAUACGAAGUGUGUUCAUGGAAACGACUUAGGAUUUCUCCAGUGCUGCCCCCCUAGAGCACUUUAAGACAUUAACAACGGUAGCUCCAGUUUACAGAGUACCCAUUAUGUGCCAGGCACUGUGCUCAAAGCUUUCUAUUCACUGUCUCAUUCUCACAACACUACGAGGCAGGUGCUGUUAUCAUUUAAUGUAACUGCUGAGGAAAAUCGGGGGUUAGAGAGGUUGGGAACCUACUCAAGAUCAUAAAGCAAGUGAGGACAGUGAGUCUGUUUUUGAAAAAGUUCUCUCCCAUGGAUUUGUUAUGCCACAGGUUUACAUACAUUCCUGUUUUGUGGAUCUUCCAUUUUGUCCCACCAGGUAAGGCAGGGUGGGGAGACAGCUCUUGUAAAAGGAAAAGGAAACCAAGGAAGUAUCAAGAUAGCCAUCAUCUUUGCAAGGACUGGACCACUUCAAUCAUACAUCACCUGAUU